UACGUAGGGGGCAAGCGUUGUCCGGAAUCAUUGGUCGUAAAGCGCGUGUAGGCGGCUCGAUAAGUCUGCUGUGAAAGUUCAGGGCUCAACCCUGAAAUGCCGGUGGAAACUGUCGAGCUAGAGUCCGGAAGAGGCGAGUGGAAUUCCUGGUGUAGCGGUGAAAUGCGCAGAUAUCAGGAGGAACACCAAUUGCGAAGGCAGCUCGCUGGGACGUGACUGACGCUGAGACGCGAAAGCGUGGGGAGCAAACAGG
RNAcentral lists this ribosomal RNA (253 nucleotides) under uncultured bacterium. RNAcentral describes it as "partial 16S ribosomal RNA". It matches the Rfam family "Bacterial small subunit ribosomal RNA", at positions 524 to 776 of the family's 1533-position model. The record is from RNAcentral.